RNAcentral lists this long non-coding RNA (566 nucleotides) under Pan troglodytes (chimpanzee). RNAcentral describes it as "lincRNA". Lineage: Eukaryota; Metazoa; Chordata; Mammalia; Primates; Hominidae. The record is from RNAcentral.
UAUUCCGUGAUAUUGAAUAAGUCUCACAAGAUCUGGUGGGUUUAUCAGGGGUUUCUGCUUUUGCUUCUUCCUCAGUUUCUCUUGCUGCCAUCAUGUAAGAAGGACCUUUUACCUCCCACCAUGAUUCUAAGGCCUCCCCAGCCACGUGGAACUAUAUCAGGUGGCUUCUUCAAAUGAAUUUUUAAGUAUCUCGAUGAUGAUGAAGAACAAAGACAUCAAUCAGGAUUCAGGAAGACAGCUUUUGCGGAAAAUGCUUAAAAGGAAGCAUCAAGGAUUGGUGUUGAUAUUUGAAAGUUUAAGAGUGGUAUACUUUUAUUCAGUCAACACAUGCCAAAUGUAAAAGGCACUCAUUUGUUGUUCCUGGAAGAAGCCUGGCAGCAUUCCAUUCAGACAUCUGCCCUUUCAUCGUCCCACUUUUUACUUAUUGCAGUCCUUUCAGUCUGAAUAUUUCCUCCUGACGCAUCUUCUGCCGUCCGAAAUGACUCCCUGCUCCCGGAUCCUGUAGCCCUUAUUAUUGACACCUUUCAUUUAGAAAUUUAGCACAUGUCACAUUACACCAUUAUUGA